CCUACGGGCGGCAGCAGUGAGGAAUAUUGGUCAAUGGACGCAAGUCUGAACCAGCCAUGCCGCGUGCAGGAAGACGGCUCUAUGAGUUGUAAACUGCUUUUGUACGAGGGUAAACGCAGAUACGCGUAUCUGUCUGAAAGUAUCGUACGAAUAAGGAUCGGCUAACUCCGUGCCAGCAGCCGCGGUAAUACGGAGGAUUCAAGCGUUAUCCGGAUUUAGUGGGUUUAACGGGUGCGUAGGCGGUCGGAUAAGUUGGAGGUGAAAUCCCGUGGCUCAACUUCGGAAUUGCCUCUGAUACUGUUCGGCUAGAGUGUAGUUGCGGUAGGCGGAAUGUAUGGUGUAGCGGUGAAAUGCUUAGAGAUCAGACAGAACACCGAUUGCGAAGGCAGCUUACUAGGCUACUUCUGACGUUGAGGCACGAAAGCGUGGGGAGCAAACAGGAUUAGAUACCCGAGUAGUC
This 460-nucleotide ribosomal RNA is filed under the name uncultured bacterium. Its description in RNAcentral is "partial 16S ribosomal RNA". It matches the Rfam family "Bacterial small subunit ribosomal RNA", at positions 338 to 795 of the family's 1533-position model. The record is from RNAcentral.